Molecule: RNA transcript, 1168 nt
Organism: Cicer arietinum (chickpea)
Lineage: Eukaryota; Viridiplantae; Streptophyta; Magnoliopsida; Fabales; Fabaceae
Gene name: putative Holliday junction resolvase-like
Source: RefSeq, marked predicted
UCUACUUCUCUCUAGUCCUAAUUGAUGCUCUCUGAUUUUCUCAUUUCCCUCUACACCUACUCCGGACCCCAGACACCGCGCGGAUUCUUCAUUCUCUCCCUGCCUGAGCAAGAAACCAUUCUCGCGCGACACAACCAGGGUCCUAGAUCUGCCACUGUCUACAACCACCACAAGUCACCGGCAGCGCUGUCUACUACAACUCACAACAAUAUCUACCAUAACAGCAUUACAUUAUUCAUUUAUUGGUUUAUGAGAUGAGGCAGAUGAAGCCGUUGCAGUUGUUUCAUGAUUUGGUGAAGACGACACAGAAAGAACGAGGAAGGUUGAUUGGUUUAGAUGUUGGCGAUAAAUAUGUUGGCCUUGCGCUUUCUGACUUUGAUAACAAAAUUGCUUCACCUUUCAGUGUUCUUGUCAGGAAGAAGACAAACAUUAAUUUAAUGGCUGCUGAUUUUAAGAGUCUGGUCUCCAAAUACUCCUUGAAGGGCUUUGUUAUUGGCCUCCCUUUUGACAGACAUUUGGUGUCUUCUGAUGCUGUGAAAGUGAAGGUCUUCAUUGAUAACCUCCGUAGAACAAACAUGUUCGACGGUCUGAAGUAUACAUAUUGGAAUGAGUGCUUCACAUCAAAGAAUGUAGAAAUAUUGAUAAAGCCUUUGAAUUUGAAUCAUCCAGUUCAUUCCAAAACUAUGCUAGACAAGUUUGCUGCUGUAGGAAUACUUCAGGGGUACCUCGACUACGUUAACAGAAAAGCAAGGCUGAUAGCACCAGAGUAAGACUUCUUAAUAGUGUAGAGGCAUUCACCAGAAAUCAGAUCUAGAAACAUCUGAAUUUAAAGGUCAUGCACCUAAGUGAAAAGAAAAGUUGACUUAGUGGAAGAUCAAGCUUUAAACCUCACAAUCACAUUCAUAUUUUAAAGACAUGAGCUGGAGUGAGUUGACAUGUAAGCUCCGUGAUCAGUAGAUUCAUUAGUUAGUUCCAUUUGUAAACAGAAGAUUUUGAUCAAACAAUGAAAGGCAUUGGAAAAUAUGAUGGUGUAGAAAAAGUCAUCGAAGCAGAAAAUACUUUUAUAUGUGAGGGGCAUCCACUUAUUUCAAGAAACUGACUUUUUUCUUCUUCUUCUUGUAACUCCAAUCUAUAAAAGAGUGUUCUACUAUGCACUUCCACACUUAAA